GACAUACCUAUACGUUGCCUCGGCGGAUCAGCCCGCGCCCCGUAAAACGGGACGGCCCGCCCGAGGACCCCUAAACUCUGUUUUUAGUGGAACUUCUGAGUAAAACAAACAAAUAAAUCAAAACUUUCAACAACGGAUCUCUUGGUUCUGGCAUCGAUGAAGAACGCAGCAAAAUGCGAUAAGUAAUGUGAAUUGCAGAAUUCAGUGAAUCAUCGAAUCUUUGAACGCACAUUGCGCCCGCCAGUAUUCUGGCGGGCAUGCCUGUUCGAGCGUCAUUUCAACCCUCAAGCUCAGCUUGGUGUUGGGACUCGCGGUAACCCGCGUUCCCCAAAUCGAUUGGCGGUCACGUCGAGCUUCCAUAGCGUAGUAAUCAUACACCUCGUUACUGGUAAUCGUCGCGGCCACGCCGUUAAACCCCAACUUCUGAAUGUUGACCUCGGAUCAGGUAGGAAUACCCGCUGAACUUAA
RNAcentral lists this ribosomal RNA (468 nucleotides) under Fusarium oxysporum f. sp. lycopersici. RNAcentral's name for it is "eukaryotic LSU rRNA". The stretch from base 122 to 275 matches the Rfam family "5.8S ribosomal RNA". Lineage: Eukaryota; Fungi; Ascomycota; Sordariomycetes; Hypocreales; Nectriaceae. The record is from RNAcentral.